GAGCAUGAGCCAGGGUGGCCCAGGGGCUCACAGGAAUUCCCCUUCUGCCCUGAGCCCACCAGAGCUGGCUAUACAAUGACAACUUCACCCCCCCACCCCCCCAUGGGCAGCACCUGCUCCCUGGGUCUCCCCUGGUGGCCCUAUUAUCCCGCACCUGCUGCUUCCCCACCUGCUCCCUAUUCUUAGCCCCCUCCCCAUAGCACACCCUGUUCAUCACUAGGCCCAGCUGCCUGCUCUGACAGCCAGCCAGGAAGGGGGUGAUAGAACCAGGAGAGGUAGCAUGGAGGGCCCAAGGACAGAGGGUCCAGAGGCCAGUCCAGCUCUGUUUGACUAGUGUGUAUGCUUACAAUGGACUCCAUCUCAGGGUCUCAGUCUCCCUACCUGUGAAGUGGGAACAGCAAGCCCUGACCUCAAGUUUCUACAAAAACUUUACUGCUUGGAAGAUCUUAGGCCAUCGUGUUCCAAGAUCUGAGUUCUAGAGGACAGCCAGGAAAGAAGUGGACCAUGAGGACAGAGAGCGGGACAAGGGAAGGUGACGCAACCUUCACGUGCAUGAAGAUGCUAAUGGUUCAUAUUUUAUAUGCUGAAGAAAAAAAUCAAAAGAACUAAAACAAUCCCCAUAGUUAAAACAGAACAAAGCAGAAAAAAAGAAUCACUUCUGGGG
This 664-nucleotide long non-coding RNA is filed under the name Mus caroli (Ryukyu mouse). Its description in RNAcentral is "lncRNA (MGP_CAROLIEiJ_G0006827.1)". The record is from RNAcentral. Lineage: Eukaryota; Metazoa; Chordata; Mammalia; Rodentia; Muridae.